CGGGCAGCAAUAUGAAGGUCAGGCUGAAGACCUUACCCGAUUAGCUGAGAGGUGGUGCAUGGCCGUCGUUAGUUCGUACUGUGAAGCAUCCUGUUAAGUCAGGCAACGAGCGAGACCCACGUCCACAGUUGCCAGCAUACCCUCCGGGGUGAUGGGUACACUGUGGAGACCGCCGCUGCUAAAGCGGAGGAAGGAGUGGGCAACGGUAGGUCAGUAUGCCCCGAAUCUCCCGGGCUACACGCGGGCUACAAUGGUUGGUACAAUGGGCAUCUACCCCGAAAGGGGAAGGAAAUCUCUUAAAGCCAAUCGUAGUUCGGAUUGAGGGCUGCAACUCGCCCUCAUGAAGCUGGAAUCCGUAGUAAUCGCGUUUCAACAGAACGCGGUGAAUACGUCCCUGCUCCUU
This 403-nucleotide ribosomal RNA is filed under the name uncultured Methanosaeta sp. RNAcentral describes it as "bacterial SSU rRNA". It matches the Rfam family "Archaeal small subunit ribosomal RNA", at positions 935 to 1338 of the family's 1478-position model. Lineage: Archaea; Methanobacteriati; Methanobacteriota; Methanomicrobia; Methanotrichales; Methanotrichaceae. The record is from RNAcentral.